Grus americana (Whooping crane) is the source of this 796-nucleotide long non-coding RNA. RefSeq lists it as uncharacterized. The transcript has 3 exons. The record is from RefSeq and is a predicted model, not a curated record. Lineage: Eukaryota; Metazoa; Chordata; Aves; Gruiformes; Gruidae.
UUGAAGGAGGCAGUCCCUAAGGCAACGCGAUCUAAAACGUGGAAGUUUUUUUUUCUAUUUUUAAUAGUUUCUUACGGAUAGGAGGCUCGUGUGAGCGUUUAGCCUGUCCUGUCCUUAAUUCUGAACCCACUGGCUGGUGCAGAAGGACGGUCGUGUGACAAAAACAGCAUGAAAUUUGUCCCUGUGCCGGCUGCGUCCCGUGGUAAAGGAGUACAUCUGUUAUUCCUGCGUGAAAGAUGUUUGAUGAGCGUACCGCAUCGUCAGAGCUGCUCUUGGUCUGCCUGCAAGCCGUGGGUUAUGAUUUAGAAAUACGUUCGCCUACCGUUCCUUAACUGUGUGGUUUUGGUUUUUAUUUUUUCAAAGAAAGGGUGGCUUUUUCGUCGAUCUCUUUGUGAGAGUAUCAAAUCAGGCGGCGGUAAAUACGUAGAAGCAACUAGGCGUACUACGGCGUGUACCGGACAGCGUUGGCGUGCCGCUCUGCUAGCAGCGGAGAGCCAGAUGAGGAUGCCCGUGAUAUGAGAAAAGCUCUGUCCAGAGAUAUGGAGACGAAAUCAGUUGUACCUCACCCUGUGACACCGGAAGACAUUGAGCCGCGCUGAGGACGUGGUUGCCCGUCCCUCCCUUGGGGAUGCCGUCGACUGCACCCGCCUCGCCUGUGCCUGGCCUGGCUCGCCUCGUGGCGUGGGGGCGAAAAGGGACAGGCGGCGGAGCGCUUACCGGCCGUGGACAGCAGCUGCCCUAAGGGAAGCUGGAAUGGCCAGAGAAAGGUGAAGAAGAAGAAGAAGAGAUGGAAGGC